ACCCACCGGAACCGGAAGCUACCCUGCCGGCCCUCGUACCGGCCUGCCUUUGGCGCCAGGUCUCCCAAGAAACUGACCUGGCCGACCCGGGGCCUCGGAACCACGCCGAGAGACGGGCAGGGAAGAGGCGACUCUCAAAGCCCUUGUGGGUUGCCAAUCCCUUUCUCGGGACCACAAAUCCCAGAGGUCACUGCGACCGUCCCCACCCCACUACCCUCUGGGAUUUGUAGUUUGAGCCACCCGCGCCCCGAGCGCCCUCUAGUAGCAGCCGGGAGCGUCUGGCGCACGGGCGACCGCGGUGCGUGAGCGCGGGAAACUAGGGCUGCGCGGGUUGAGGGGCUCGCAGAGAGAGGCAGCCCCAGCCAGACUGCGCGCCCCGUUCAGUACGCCGGUGAAACAGUCGAGGCUGGGGGAAAAGAUUUGGGAGUAUUUCAUCCCAUUACGAUAGGACCCUGCCCUAAAGGACUUUACAGCCUCCCUAAGAGACCGGCCAGACACAAAGGACAGAAGCAAAACUCCAUGGGAAAGGAGUCCAGGGGAGCAGGUCGGGGAGAGAGGCCCGUGGUUCAACUGUAGGCUUCACGUUGGAAAAAACAGGGAGGCUCUCCUGUGCGGGGUAGGAUGUUCAGCGGCAUCCCUGGAAUCUACCCACUCGAUUCCAUUCGCAUCCACUCCCACCACCUCUACCACCUGUUGUGACGACCAGAAUUGUCUCCAGUCACUGCCAGAGGUCCCUGAAAGGAAAAUCGUUCCCCCACCCCUGCCCCGUUGAGAACCGCUGUUGUGGAACAAUGAUGCUCUGAAGUCAUGAUAUCAGAGUCCUGGGAUCGAGCCCCCCCCCCCAAUCAGGCUCUGCUCAGCGGGG
Long non-coding RNA from Lutra lutra (Eurasian river otter), 865 nucleotides. RefSeq lists it as uncharacterized. The transcript is spliced from 3 exons. The record is from RefSeq and is a predicted model, not a curated record. Lineage: Eukaryota; Metazoa; Chordata; Mammalia; Carnivora; Mustelidae.